Pelobates cultripes (western spadefoot toad) is the source of this 449-nucleotide non-coding RNA. The record is from the annotation of a GenBank genome assembly. NCBI's taxonomy places the organism in Eukaryota, Metazoa, Chordata, Amphibia, Anura, Pelobatidae.
GCAAUAUUUGAAGUGCAAUAUUUUUGCUUUACAUUCAUUGUGGAUUGCAUUGAUUUCUGUUGAAAUAACGUAUUGUGUUGGUAAAUGAAACAGAGUGAAAAGGAAAAUGUUAUUUUCAAAAAACGAUUUAGGGAGAACUCAAUUUUCUCCCAAAUAACAAUCUUCUUGUAAGAGAGAGAGGGGGAAAAAUCUACUUUACCAGAAAGAGGAAAUAUAAAUAAUCCAUUCUCUACAGAAUCAGAAAAGCGAACUUUGUGUUGCUGGCUCUGCAAAGAAACUGCCACUUCGUGUCCCUAUGUAAUGAGAAAAAGACAAGCAGCAGAUUUACAGCUUAGAAUAAUUCUCAUAUGUCCUUUCUUGCUGCAGACAUCAAAGACUGUAUUGAGGAUUUGGGCAGAAUGUCCAGUUAUCACAUUCCAGCAUUACUUUAGCAAUUUAAUAUUUAAAUC